This 639-nucleotide ribosomal RNA is filed under the name uncultured fungus. Its description in RNAcentral is "eukaryotic LSU rRNA". It matches the Rfam family "Eukaryotic large subunit ribosomal RNA", at positions 23 to 641 of the family's 3401-position model. Lineage: Eukaryota; Fungi. The record is from RNAcentral.
ACCCGCUGAACUUAAGCAUAUUACUAAGCGGAGGAAAAGAAAUCAACGAAGAUUGCCUCAGUAGCGGCGAGUGAAGCGGCAAAAGCUCAAGUUUAGAAUCUGUAGCCUUGCGGCUACCGAAUUGUGAUCUAAAGGGGCUAACAAAAGGGGAAGGUGAGGCAUAAGUUCCUUGGAACAGGACAUCAUAGAGGGUGAAAAUCCCGUAUGUAGCCUCCCCUGAACCGAAUGUUGACCUUCUGAGAGUCGGGUUGUUUGGGAUUGCAGCCCUAAAUGGGAGAUAAACUUCUUCUAAGGCUAAAUAUUUAUGGGAAACCGAUAGCGAACAAGUACUGUGAAGGAAAGGUGAAAAGAACUUUGAAAAGAGGGUUAAAAGACUUGAAAUCGUUGAGAAGGAAGCAGUAGAAGUGGAUUUAAGUUAGCUAUGAAGUAAGCCAUGUAAGGAACCAGCUCGUAGUGGUGUUAGUACGUCAUUGGCUUAGCUGCUACGAAGUAAUGGCACUUUAUGGUGGUUUCAUGGCUAAAGGGCAGAACCAGGUCUAUCUUGUUGGAAUCAGUGGGGGGAAAGUCCCGGUUUCGGCCGGAGUCCCUCUACAAAACAACAAAUUGGCCUGAGGAUUUCGGUUCUGCCACAACGGCUUC